ACCCCGGCCCUUUUCAGGGCCACCCACAUCUUGUGAAGAACUGUA
Non-coding RNA from Branchiostoma floridae (Florida lancelet), 45 nucleotides. Lineage: Eukaryota; Metazoa; Chordata; Leptocardii; Amphioxiformes; Branchiostomatidae. The record is from Rfam.